RNAcentral lists this small RNA (29 nucleotides) under Bombyx mori (domestic silkworm). RNAcentral describes it as "ovarian small RNA-28928". The record is from RNAcentral. Lineage: Eukaryota; Metazoa; Arthropoda; Insecta; Lepidoptera; Bombycidae.
UCGGAGAGGCGGCGAACGCGCAAGACCGC